RNAcentral lists this transfer RNA (64 nucleotides) under Dolichogenidea sp. n. SNS-2016. Its description in RNAcentral is "tRNA-His". The record is from RNAcentral. Lineage: Eukaryota; Metazoa; Arthropoda; Insecta; Hymenoptera; Braconidae.
AUUUAAAUAGUUUAAAUUAAAACUUUGAUUUGUGGAAUCAAGAAUAUAAAUUUUAUUUUAAAUU